Molecule: ribosomal RNA, 315 nt
Filed under: uncultured bacterium
Lineage: Bacteria
Description: bacterial SSU rRNA
Rfam family: Bacterial small subunit ribosomal RNA
Source: RNAcentral
GAUGAACGCUAGCUACAGGCUUAACACAUGCAAGUCGAGGGGCAGCAUGAAGUCAGCUUGCUGACUUUGAUGGCGACCGGCGCACGGGUGAGUAACGCGUAUCCAACCUUCCCCUUACUCAGGAAUAGCCCGUUGAAAGACGGAUUAAUGCCUGAUGUUCUCAUGUUGCCGCAUGGCGAUAUGAGCAAAGAUUCAUCGGUAAGGGAUGGGGAUGCGUAUGAUUAGCUUGUUGGCGGGGUAGCGGCCCACCAGGGCGACGAUCAUUAGGGGUCCUGAGAGGAAGGUCCCCCACACUGGAACUGAGACACGGUCCAG